This 486-nucleotide ribosomal RNA is filed under the name uncultured bacterium. Its description in RNAcentral is "partial 16S ribosomal RNA". It matches the Rfam family "Bacterial small subunit ribosomal RNA", at positions 28 to 523 of the family's 1533-position model. The record is from RNAcentral.
GAUGAACGCUGGCGGCGUGCUUAACACAUGCAAGUCGAACGGAAAGGCCCCAGCUUGCUGGGGUACUCGAGUGGCGAACGGGUGAGUAACACGUGGGUGAUCUGCCCUGCACUUUGGGAUAAGCUUGGGAAACUGGGUCUAAUACCGAAUAUGACCACUUCUUGGAUGUUGUGGUGGAAAGCUUUUGCGGUGUGGGAUGAGCCUGGGGUCUAUCAGCUUGUUGGUGGGGUAAUGGCCUAACAAGGCGGCGACGGGUGUCCGGCCUGAGAGGGUGUAGAGACACAUUGGGACUGGGGUACGUCCCAGACUCCUACGGUAGGCAGCAGUGGGGAAUAUUGCACAAUGGGCGCAAGCCUGAUGCAGCGACGCCGCGUGGGGGAUGAAGGCCUUCGGGUUGUAAACUCCUUUCGCUAUCGACGAAGCCACUUGUGGUGACGGUAGGUAGAUAAGAAGCACCGGCUAACUACGUGCCAGCCGCCGCUGUAA